Molecule: long non-coding RNA, 388 nt
Filed under: Lathyrus oleraceus (garden pea)
Lineage: Eukaryota; Viridiplantae; Streptophyta; Magnoliopsida; Fabales; Fabaceae
Description: Pisum sativum (pea) long non-coding RNA (PSAT_LNC032966)
Source: RNAcentral
UCAAAAAGAACAAGUAAACAUCAGAAACAAAGAAAGCAAAAAACAACAAGCAAACAAAAUCCUAAGUGCCUAGGGGUUGGGAGGCGGAGGCAUUCUCUGAAGCAAUUGAGCUAGCAUGUUCUGAAUAUUGUCGUUGACAGUGUCUUGUUUAUCCAUUCUGGCACGGAGUUCCUUCUGAUCUUUCUUCAGUUCUUCCAGCGUGUGGAGAACCAUAGGAACAACAGAUGAGGACUCCCCCUGAGUCAGAGCCUGAUGUGCUUCAGCAGCGGCCUUUGCUUCAGCUUCAGCAGCAGCCUGUGCUUCAGCUUCGGCAGCAGCAGCAGCAUCAGCCAGAGCUUUAGCUUCAGCUUCCUUUGCCCUUAGGAUUUCAGCUUCCCUUGCUCUUUCU